This 2250-nucleotide ribosomal RNA is filed under the name human gut metagenome. Its description in RNAcentral is "bacterial LSU rRNA". It matches the Rfam family "Bacterial large subunit ribosomal RNA", at positions 591 to 2826 of the family's 2925-position model. The record is from RNAcentral.
GUGUGACUGCGUACCUUUUGUAUAAUGGGUCAGCGACUUAUAUUCUGUAGCAAGGUUAACCGAAUAGGGGAGCCGAAGGGAAACCGAGUCUUAACUGGGCGUUAAGUUGCAGGGUAUAGACCCGAAACCCGGUGAUCUAGCCAUGGGCAGGUUGAAGGUUGGGUAACACUAACUGGAGGACCGAACCGACUAAUGUUGAAAAAUUAGCGGAUGACUUGUGGCUGGGGGUGAAAGGCCAAUCAAACCGGGAGAUAGCUGGUUCUCCCCGAAAGCUAUUUAGGUAGCGCCUCGUGAAUUCAUCUCCGGGGGUAGAGCACUGUUUCGGCAAGGGGGUCAUCCCGACUUACCAACCCGAUGCAAACUGCGAAUACCGGAGAAUGUUAUCACGGGAGACACACGGCGGGUGCUAACGUCCGUCGUGAAGAGGGAAACAACCCAGACCGCCAGCUAAGGUCCCAAAGUCAUGGUUAAGUGGGAAACGAUGUGGGAAGGCCCAGACAGCCAGGAUGUUGGCUUAGAAGCAGCCAUCAUUUAAAGAAAGCGUAAUAGCUCACUGGUCGAGUCGGCCUGCGCGGAAGAUGUAACGGGGCUAAACCAUGCACCGAAGCUGCGGCAGCGACGCUUAUGCGUUGUUGGGUAGGGGAGCGUUCUGUAAGCCUGUGAAGGUGUACUGUGAGGUAUGCUGGAGGUAUCAGAAGUGCGAAUGCUGACAUAAGUAACGAUAAAGCGGGUGAAAAGCCCGCUCGCCGGAAGACCAAGGGUUCCUGUCCAACGUUAAUCGGGGCAGGGUGAGUCGACCCCUAAGGCGAGGCCGAAAGGCGUAGUCGAUGGGAAACAGGUUAAUAUUCCUGUACUUGGUGUUACUGCGAAGGGGGGACGGAGAAGGCUAUGUUGGCCGGGCGACGGUUGUCCCGGUUUAAGCGUGUAGGCUGGUUUUCCAGGCAAAUCCGGAAAAUCAAGGCUGAGGCGUGAUGACGAGGCACUACGGUGCUGAAGCAACAAAUGCCCUGCUUCCAGGAAAAGCCUCUAAGCAUCAGGUAACAUCAAAUCGUACCCCAAACCGACACAGGUGGUCAGGUAGAGAAUACCAAGGCGCUUGAGAGAACUCGGGUGAAGGAACUAGGCAAAAUGGUGCCGUAACUUCGGGAGAAGGCACGCUGAUAUGUAGGUGAAGUGACUUGCUCAUGGAGCUGAAAUCAGUCGAAGAUACCAGCUGGCUGCAACUGUUUAUUAAAAACACAGCACUGUGCAAACACGAAAGUGGACGUAUACGGUGUGACGCCUGCCCGGUGCCGGAAGGUUAAUUGAUGGGGUCAGCGCAAGCGAAGCUCUUGAUCGAAGCCCCGGUAAACGGCGGCCGUAACUAUAACGGUCCUAAGGUAGCGAAAUUCCUUGUCGGGUAAGUUCCGACCUGCACGAAUGGCGUAAUGAUGGCCAGGCUGUCUCCACCCGAGACUCAGUGAAAUUGAACUCGCUGUGAAGAUGCAGUGUACCCGCGGCAAGACGGAAAGACCCCGUGAACCUUUACUAUAGCUUGACACUGAACAUUGAGCCUUGAUGUGUAGGAUAGGUGGGAGGCUUUGAAGUGUGGACGCCAGUCUGCAUGGAGCCGACCUUGAAAUACCACCCUUUAAUGUUUGAUGUUCUAACGUUGACCCGUGAUCCGGGUUGCGGACAGUGUCUGGUGGGUAGUUUGACUGGGGCGGUCUCCUCCUAAAGAGUAACGGAGGAGCACGAAGGUUGGCUAAUCCUGGUCGGACAUCAGGAGGUUAGUGCAAUGGCAUAAGCCAGCUUGACUGCGAGCGUGACGGCGCGAGCAGGUGCGAAAGCAGGUCAUAGUGAUCCGGUGGUUCUGAAUGGAAGGGCCAUCGCUCAACGGAUAAAAGGUACUCCGGGGAUAACAGGCUGAUACCGCCCAAGAGUUCAUAUCGACGGCGGUGUUUGGCACCUCGAUGUCGGCUCAUCACAUCCUGGGGCUGAAGUAGGUCCCAAGGGUAUGGCUGUUCGCCAUUUAAAGUGGUACGCGAGCUGGGUUUAGAACGUCGUGAGACAGUUCGGUCCCUAUCUGCCGUGGGCGCUGGAGAACUGAGGGGGGCUGCUCCUAGUACGAGAGGACCGGAGUGGACGCAUCACUGGUGUUCGGGUUGUCAUGCCAAUGGCACUGCCCGGUAGCUAAAUGCGGAAGAGAUAAGUGCUGAAAGCAUCUAAGCACGAAACUUGCCCCGAGAUGAGUUCUCCCUGACUCCUUGA